GGAGCAGUAGCGCAGUGGUUGUGCUUGUGUGUGGUGUGCACAAGGUUUGGGGUUCGAUCCCCAAGCCACCCCU
This 73-nucleotide transfer RNA is filed under the name Hordeum vulgare. Its description in RNAcentral is "tRNA-OTHER". Lineage: Eukaryota; Viridiplantae; Streptophyta; Magnoliopsida; Poales; Poaceae. The record is from RNAcentral.